UCAUCAUCAUCAUCAUCGUUGCCUUCACACAUGCAACACCAACAUUGAUCAUUCGCACUCAACCUCAAAUGAACCAAUCAUCCAUGCUUAUUCAUACCCAACAACAAGUAAAUCAAUUUUCAAUGUCCCUUUUCCCUGUAAAGUUUAGUCACUGGAUGAAUGAUUUAUUAUUAAUUUCAUAUUUUAAUUAAUGCAUCUUAAAUAAAAGGUUAUAUAUGCAUGUUUCAGAAUGAGACUAAACGGAGUGGUAACUGCGAUUACAAGGUGACCAUAGCAACAAGCUGCAAAUCUCCUUUAUCUACAAAAGAUGAAAUCAGUAUUUUAUUUGGAGAUGCUGAUGGCUCUGAGGUUCCUUUCUAUACCACAAACAAUUAAUCAUAUAUCUAUACAUGUUUAUGUUGCUCCUUAAUUUUUGUUGUGCAAAUAAUAUUACACCCUAAUUAUUAAUAUUUGUUAGUUGCCAACAAAAAAAUUAUAUAUCUAUACAUAUAAUAAUUGCAGGUUUAUGUACCAAGAUUGGACGAUCCUGAUUCUGGGACGACGUUCGAGCAAUGCACCACGAUGGAUUUUGAGAUAUUGGGACCAUGUAUUGGUAAAAUAUGCAAAAUGUAUCUAUUUAGGAACGGCACGGAUGGUUGGAUACCAGAGACUGUCAUAGCA
RNAcentral lists this long non-coding RNA (660 nucleotides) under Medicago truncatula (barrel medic). RNAcentral describes it as "long non-coding RNA (MTRU_LNC000054)". Lineage: Eukaryota; Viridiplantae; Streptophyta; Magnoliopsida; Fabales; Fabaceae. The record is from RNAcentral.